This 470-nucleotide ribosomal RNA is filed under the name uncultured bacterium. RNAcentral's name for it is "bacterial SSU rRNA". It matches the Rfam family "Bacterial small subunit ribosomal RNA", at positions 331 to 793 of the family's 1533-position model. The record is from RNAcentral.
ACGCACUCCUACGGGAGGCAGCAGUGGGGAAUAUUGCACAAUGGGCGCAAGCCUGAUGCAGCCAUGCCGCGUGUAUGAAGAAGGCCUUCGGGUUGUAAAGUACUUUCAGCAGUGAGGAAGGUGGAUAUGUUAAUAGCAUAUUCAUUUGACGUUAGCUGCAGAAGAAGCACCGGCUAACUCCGUGCCAGCAGCCGCGGUAAUACGGAGGGUGCGAGCGUUAAUCGGAAUUACUGGGCGUAAAGCGUACGCAGGCGGUUUGUUAAGCGAGAUGUGAAAGCCCCGGGCUCAACCUGGGAACUGCAUUUCGAACUGGCAAACUAGAGUGUGAUAGAGGGUGGUAGAAUUUCAGGUGUAGCGGUGAAAUGCGUAGAGAUCUGAAGGAAUACCGAUGGCGAAGGCAGCCACCUGGGUCAACACUGACGCUCAUGUACGAAAGCGUGGGGAGCAAACGGGAUUAGAUACCCUGGUAG